UCAGGAUGAACGCUGGCGGCGUGCCUAACACAUGCAAGUCGAACGAGCGAGAGAUGAAACCUAGUGAUUCUCGAGCGAGUGGCGGACGGGUGAGUAACGCGUGGGUAACCUGCCUUACAGAGGGGGAUAACAGUCUGAAAAGACUGCUAAUACCGCAUAAGCACACAGUACCGCAUGGUACAGGGUGAAAAGAUUUAUCACUGUAAGAUGGACCCGCGUCUGAUUAGCCAGUUGGCAGGGUAACGGCCUACCAAAGCGACGAUCAGUAGCCGACCUGAGAGGGUGAUCGGCCACAUUGGGACUGAGACACGGCCCAAACUCCUACGGGAGGCAGCAGUGGGGGAUAUUGCACAAUGGAGGAAACUCUGAUGCAAGCGACGCCGCGUGAGUGAAGAAGUAUUUCGGUAUGUAAAGCUCUAUCAGCAGGGAAGAUAAUGACAGUACCUGACCAAGAAGCCCCGGCUAACUACGUGCCAGCCGCCGC
Molecule: ribosomal RNA, 484 nt
Filed under: uncultured bacterium
Lineage: Bacteria
Description: bacterial SSU rRNA
Rfam family: Bacterial small subunit ribosomal RNA
Source: RNAcentral